CAGUAGCCGCGGGAAUACGUAGGGUGCAAGCGUUAAUCGGAAUUACUGGGCGUAAAGCGUGCGCAGGCGGUUUGUUAAGACAGAUGUGAAAUCCCCGGGCUUAACCUGGGAACUGCAUUUGUGACUGGCGAGCUAGAGUAUGGCAGAGGGGGGUAGAAUUCCACGUGUAGCAGUGAAAUGCGUAGAGAUGUGGAGGAAUACCGAUGGCGAAGGCAGCCCCCUGGGCCAAUACUGACGCUCAUGCACGAAAGCGUGGGGAGCAAACAGGAUUAGAUACCCCAGUAGUCCCUGUCUCUUAUAC
This 301-nucleotide ribosomal RNA is filed under the name uncultured bacterium. RNAcentral's name for it is "partial 16S ribosomal RNA". It matches the Rfam family "Bacterial small subunit ribosomal RNA", at positions 509 to 807 of the family's 1533-position model. The record is from RNAcentral.